RNAcentral lists this ribosomal RNA (587 nucleotides) under uncultured bacterium. RNAcentral's name for it is "bacterial SSU rRNA". It matches the Rfam family "Bacterial small subunit ribosomal RNA", at positions 153 to 727 of the family's 1533-position model. The record is from RNAcentral.
GAAACGACCGCUAAUACCGCAUGUCGUUGCAAGGUCUUCGGACUUUGCAAAAAAAGGCGCUUCGGCGUCACCAGAAGAUGAGUCCGCCCCCCAUUAGCUAGUUGGUGUGAUAAUAGCGCACCAAGGCUUCGAUGGGUAGCCGAGCUGAGAGGUUGAUCGGCCACACUGGAACUGAGACACGGUCCAGACACCUACGGGUGGCAGCAGUAGGGAAUAUUGCGCAAUGGGCGAAAGCCUGACGCAGCCAUGCCGCGUGAGUGAAGAAGGUUUUCGGAUUGUAAAACUCUUUUCUUAGGGAAGAAACCCGCGAGGAGGUAAUGCCUUGCGAUUGACGGUACCUAAGGAAUAAGGGACGGCUAACUCCGUGCCAGCAGCCGCGGUAAUACGGAGGUCCCAAGCGUUGUUCGGAUUUACUGGGCGUAAAGGGAGCGCAGGCGGAUAGAUCAGUUUAAAGUGGAAGCCCGGGGCUUAACCCCGGAAGGCCUUUGAAUACUGUCUAUCUUGAGUAUGUGAUGGGAAUGCGGAAUUCAAGGUGUAGCGGUGAAAUGCUUAGAUAUCUUGAGGAACACCAAUGGCGAAAGCAGCAU